Molecule: RNA transcript, 1004 nt
Organism: Drosophila pseudoobscura
Lineage: Eukaryota; Metazoa; Arthropoda; Insecta; Diptera; Drosophilidae
Exons: 3
Source: RefSeq, a predicted model, not a curated record
AUUUACAAAUAAUCUUCAUGGGCGGUGAAGAAAUCUACGCAAAACAACGUGCACUCGCCAGUCGCAACAACAUCAAUUUUCCAACAGCCGGGCGAAUGGACAACGAGCUGGACAGCCUAUUGACUGCUCAUGCACAUACUACCCGAAAUUACACGUCCUAUAAUUAUAAUCGAGGCUGUAAUAUUGCUGUCUUUCCUAUUGAACGAAGCUAAACAAAUGUAUAAACGAAUUUUGUUGUUCAAAGAAGGCCUGGAGAACUGAAUGUCAGUCUGUUUUACAUAUCAAAUCUCAUAUUAGACAGCAUAUCAACAAACCUACAGCUCCAAAAAAAUCUCGACAGAAAAUAAUUCGUACCGUACCAAAAUACUAAGAAAAAACGAAUACACGCAAUAUUUCAUGUAAAUAUUCUCUGAGAUGAUAUGCUGGAAAUAGUUAACAUUAAAAUGGAAAUAAGCAUGGUUAAAAAAUGGGUAGCCGUAGAGAGCUCAAUGUUUUGGACAACAUGGAUAAUCGAUGGAAUUAUCUAUAUUCAGCCAAGAACAAAAAUUCCGUGGCCCGUGACGAUGGGCCGCUUGGUGAAGCCACGCAGUUAUAUAUUUUUAUACCAACAGAAGAAGCCCUCCCAGCAAGAGGAUGCAAGAGACCUCACAAGCUCUUCAAUUUCACAGUCAAUUUCAAACCUGGAUGAUAGUAAUUCAGACGAAGCAUAUUCAGAUACGGGUUUAUGGAAGCCUCGAGGUCGUAUCAUUUAUCUUAAAAAAACCAAAAUUCCCUCUCCUAUGACGUUGGGCCGCUUGGUGAUGCCACGCAGAUAUAGAAUGACUUUCCCCUGGAACGACGAUUGGUCAUAUGCACUCUGAACAUAUCCUGGACUACCCGGCCACAACCUCGUAGGGUAGACUCAGAGCUAUUGGAAAUUUUGCUUUACACUUUCCUAUCCUUACAAGAAUUUAUUAUCAGUUCCGAGAAAAUUCCAAAACAGACCGCGCAUCUCUCAAUUUUUG